This 236-nucleotide unclassified non-coding RNA is filed under the name Hevea brasiliensis (rubber tree). Lineage: Eukaryota; Viridiplantae; Streptophyta; Magnoliopsida; Malpighiales; Euphorbiaceae. The record is from RNAcentral.
CAGAAUUUGUAUAUUAAUUUUAAUUUCGCGUUCUCUGCUUCCUCUUCAUGAGUUCGAUCGCCGAUACAAGGAUUGCCAAGCUUGGUUUUUUGGGGAGGAUAAGAUCAAAGCACCAGAAAUGAGCGGCUUUUAGUUGAGAAAGAGAAAACCCAACUACGGCCAAAUCCUUUUCAGCCGAUCACAACUUUCCUUGACUCCAGUGACUGCGCCAUUCUCCUCACCUACCUGAGAACGAC